RNAcentral lists this transfer RNA (72 nucleotides) under Neotoma lepida (desert woodrat). It matches the Rfam family "tRNA". From Rfam's summary of the family: Transfer RNA (tRNA) molecules are approximately 80 nucleotides in length. Their secondary structure includes four short double-helical elements and three loops (D, anti-codon, and T loops). The record is from Rfam by way of RNAcentral. Lineage: Eukaryota; Metazoa; Chordata; Mammalia; Rodentia; Cricetidae.
GGGACUGGGACUCAGUGUUAAAGUACUUGCCUCACAUGCACAAGGUCCUGAGUUCAAGUCUCAGCAGUCCCA